CGCUAAUUCCGGACACAUUCUCAUUCUCUAGACAUUCAGAGCGGCUGCAUGAUGAGAGUCCGGAUGGUCCGUGUGGUAGAACGUGGAUGCUUUUAGCCGUACUUCAGUGACAUGAGUCUCUUAAUCAUUUGAAAAUUAAAGCCUCAUCAACCAGCCCUGCAGAAUUAAGAAUAUGAAGCAUCCCAUGCUGCACUGCAUAUUCAAGGGAAAUGCAGACGAAGGAGGGAGAGACAAUGGCUGGCUACUGGCAGUACUAUGCCCACUGAAGUGACACGUCUUUCUGCCUUCAGUGUCUAGUGCCUUUCUCUGGAGUUGCAACUGGGACUCUCCUUCUUCUAUAACAGAAUUUGCAAGUGUAAGGUGGCCAACAGGGUGAAUAUGGAACAGCCGGAGGGCAAAUGAGACUGUGAAGCAAACACAUAUUCUGUCCUUUGGCAGAGCAUCGGAAAUAACCAUUUCCAGUGAUGUAAAACAAGGUGGCAGAGGAAGGAUAACGG
RNAcentral lists this long non-coding RNA (497 nucleotides) under Papio anubis (olive baboon). Its description in RNAcentral is "lncRNA (ENSPANG00000046923.1)". The record is from RNAcentral. Lineage: Eukaryota; Metazoa; Chordata; Mammalia; Primates; Cercopithecidae.